CAAUAGCGUAUAUUAAAGUUGUUGCGGUUAAAAAGCUCGUAGUUGGAUUUCUGCCGAGGACGACCGGUCCGCCCUCUGGGUGAGCAUCUGGCUCGGCCUGGGCAUCUUCUUGGAGAACGUAUCUGCACUUGACUGUGUGGUGCGGUAUUCAGGACUUUUACUUUGAGGAAAUUAGAGUGUUUCAAGCAGGCACACGCCUUGAAUACAUUAGCAUGGAAUAAUAAGAUAGGACCUCGGUUCUAUUUUGUUGGUUUCUAGAUCUGAGGUAAUGAUUAAUAGGGAUAGUUGGGGGCAUUCGUAUUUAACUGUCAGAGGUGAAAUUCUUGGAUUUGUUGAAGACGGACUACUGCGAAAGCAUUUGCCAAGGAUGUUUUCAUUGA
RNAcentral lists this ribosomal RNA (380 nucleotides) under uncultured eukaryote. RNAcentral describes it as "partial 18S ribosomal RNA". It matches the Rfam family "Eukaryotic small subunit ribosomal RNA", at positions 592 to 976 of the family's 1831-position model. The record is from RNAcentral.